GUUGUAGUUAUUUUAGUAAGUGACCAACCAAAUUGUGAUUUGACUUAUAAUAAAGCUGAAAAAGUUGUGAGUUUAUGCUUUCUUCUCGUUAAUAAGAAUUAAGCUCUGUAUCACCUAGAUUUCUCUUGUCCUAACAUGGGUAUUCAAAAACAGACAUCUGUAGUGUAUGUAUGGAAUGGCACACCCCUUGUUUACCUGUUAUUGGAAACUAGAGAAGUGAUUGUUGGGCAACGCUUUAUCGUUACAUUGUGUUUAAUUUGAUGAAGAUUCUGUGUAGAAACAGUCUUUCACGUGUCAUGUUUUCAGCCACUAACUGCCAUCACCCACUGGGGUCCUUUGUUAAGUCAUCUUCCAUGGCUAAUAGGGAUAAUCCAGGUAACUUUUCAGAGAUGAGCAGUGAACAGGAAGCUUUCCUGCCUUUGGCUUUUGACAGCCCUUCCUUAAUAUUUAAGAACAGCUUUCCCAUAAAUUUAGCCUUUUGAAAAGAAGAGAGCAUCUGUAGUGAACUUCUCUGUAAGGCAAUAUCAGUGGAAUCUUAAAUGUUGUUAUCAGGGUUGGUGAGAGACGGAAGCAUUUUUGUUUUUAUUAAACAGAGCAUUAUUUACAAAGAGCCAUUGUUGAGAAUUAGAUUCCACACCG
Molecule: long non-coding RNA, 639 nt
Filed under: Bos taurus (domestic cattle)
Lineage: Eukaryota; Metazoa; Chordata; Mammalia; Artiodactyla; Bovidae
Description: long non-coding RNA NONBTAT000423
Source: RNAcentral